UAGUCCACGCCGUAAACGAUGAGAACUAAGUGUUGGAGAAAUUCAGUGCUGCAGUUAACGCAAUAAGUUCUCCGCCUGGGGAGUAUGCACGCAAGUGUGAAACUCAAAGGAAUUGACGGGGGCCCGCACAAGCGGUGGAGUAUGUGGUUUAAUUCGAAGCAACGCGAAGAACCUUACCAGGCCUUGACAUGAGGAUAAAGGCCCCAGAGAUGGGGAGAUAGCUAUAUCCUACAC
Molecule: ribosomal RNA, 234 nt
Filed under: uncultured bacterium
Lineage: Bacteria
Description: partial 16S ribosomal RNA
Rfam family: Bacterial small subunit ribosomal RNA
Source: RNAcentral